UGUUGAAUUAACCUAUACUCACUUCAUUUUAUUUAUAUAAUACAGUCCAUUUAGCAAAUUUUGUUUGAUGUGCAGUGACACGACCUUGACAGUCAAGAUGCUCUUUCAGGUUAUUUUCUCCUGAAACCACUUCUUUUGCCAUCUCCUAAUGUUAUGGUCCCAUUACAUCUCCAUUCAUUGCAGGAGUUGGUCCCAGUUACUUUACAUGGUUCUGUUGGACACAAUGAAGCCAUCCAGAUAUGCUAUUAAAAAUCCUGCUAGUCAUUAUGGCUUUAAACUGUACCAUGCCUGUUCUAUUUUCAGCUAGGCAAAGCAUGUUCUAUUUACAGCAGGCCAGCAGACACCAGGCAGUAAGGUGAUGUAUGAGUCAAUUAUCAGGAUGGAAAUGUUUUUUGGCAGCUUUCUCAGUGAAUCAGUAUCACCGCAAAACCUUUUUGGACACCCAGAUGUUGAGAGAUGCCCAUUCCUGAGGAAUAUCAAUGGAGCUACAACCUUUUCCCUCUCUUCUGCUUUGCCAGUAGCUGCUCAAGGAGGCAAGGGUCCAAUUUUUGAGGAAGGGUCAGGCUUUGAGUCAGCAUUCAAGCUUUUCCAUGGCCGAGAUGGAAUAUUUCCCCUUUCAGAAAGAUCAUAUGUAUCUGAUGAAAACCACAAUGAGAGCAUUGACGUCAAAUUAUAUACUUAGUUAGGCUCAAUUUAGAGUACACUUAUUUAUAUUGAACCGUCGGAGUUCAUACAUAUGUAUCAAGUUAUAUACUUAGUUAGGCUCAAUGUUAGCACAAACAGUUGAUGAGCAACUUUAAAUUUAGAGUACACUUAUGUAUGAGUUAUUUGACAAUGCUUAUUUAUGAGAUAUUGAAUGUUAUUUAUCUAUAUUAUA
Molecule: long non-coding RNA, 877 nt
Organism: Zea mays
Lineage: Eukaryota; Viridiplantae; Streptophyta; Magnoliopsida; Poales; Poaceae
Exons: 2
Source: RefSeq, a predicted model, not a curated record